AUUGAACGCUGGCGGCAUGCCUUACACAUGCGAGUCGAACGGCAGCACGGGAGCAAUCCUGGUGGCGAGUGGCGAACGGGUGAGUAAUAUAUCGGAACGUGCCCGGUCGUGGGGGAUAACGUAGCGAAAGCUACGCUAAUACCGCAUACGAUCUACGGAUGAAAGCGGGGGAUCGCAAGACCUCGCGCGAUUGGAGCGGCCGAUAUCAGAUUAGGUAGUUGGUGAGGUAAAGGCUCACCAAGCCGACGAUCUGUAGCUGGUCUGAGAGGACGACCAGCCACACUGGGACUGAGACACGGCCCAGACUCCUACGGGAGGCAGCAGUGGGGAAUUUUGGACAAUGGGCGCAAGCCUGAUCCAGCAAUGCCGCGUGCAGGAUGAAGGCCUU
RNAcentral lists this ribosomal RNA (388 nucleotides) under uncultured bacterium. RNAcentral describes it as "bacterial SSU rRNA". It matches the Rfam family "Bacterial small subunit ribosomal RNA", at positions 30 to 418 of the family's 1533-position model. The record is from RNAcentral.